CCAGACUCCUACGGGAGGCAGCAGUGGGGAAUAUUGGACAAUGGACCAAGAGUCUGAUCCAGCAAUUCUGUGUGCACGAUGAAGUUUUUCGGAAUGUAAAGUGCUUUCAGUUGGGAAGAAAAAAAUGACGGUACCAACAGAAGAAGUGACGGCUAAAUACGUGCCAGCAGCCGCGGUAAUACGUAUGUCACGAGCGUUAUCCGGAUUUAUUGGGCGUAAAGCGCGUCUAGGUGGUUAUGUAAGUCUGAUGUGAAAAUGCAGGGCUCAACUCUGUAUUGCGUUGGAAACUGUAUAACUAGAGUACUGGAGAGGUAAGCGGAACUACAAGUGUAGAGGUGAAAUUCGUAGAUAUUUGUAGGAAUGCCGAUGGGGAAGCCAGCUUACUGGACAGAUACUGACGCUGAAGCGCGAAAGCGUGGGUAGCAAACAGGAUUAGAUACCCUGGUAGUCCACGCCGUAAACGAUGAUUACUAGGUGUUGGGGGUCGAACCUCAGCGCCCAAGCAAACGCGAUAAGUAAUCCGCCUGGGGAGUACGUACGCAAGUAUGAAACUCAAAGGAAUUGACGGGGGCCCGCACAAGA
Molecule: ribosomal RNA, 582 nt
Filed under: uncultured bacterium
Lineage: Bacteria
Description: bacterial SSU rRNA
Rfam family: Bacterial small subunit ribosomal RNA
Source: RNAcentral